Non-coding RNA from Gorilla gorilla gorilla (western lowland gorilla), 148 nucleotides. It matches the Rfam family "Metazoan signal recognition particle RNA". Rfam says of the family: The signal recognition particle (SRP) is a universally conserved ribonucleoprotein. NCBI's taxonomy places the organism in Eukaryota, Metazoa, Chordata, Mammalia, Primates, Hominidae. The record is from Rfam.
GCUGGGCAUGGUGGCGCAUGCCUGUAGUCCCAGCUACUUGGGAGGCUGAGGCAGGAUAAUUGCUUGAACCCGGGAAGAGGAGGAUGCAGUGAGCCGAGAUCGCAUCACUGCUCUCCAGCCUGGGUGACGGAGCAAGACUCUGCCUCAA